This 429-nucleotide ribosomal RNA is filed under the name uncultured soil bacterium. RNAcentral describes it as "bacterial SSU rRNA". It matches the Rfam family "Bacterial small subunit ribosomal RNA", at positions 958 to 1391 of the family's 1533-position model. The record is from RNAcentral.
AACGCGAAGAACCUUACCUACCCUUGACAUGUACGGAAGUCCGAAGAGAUUUGGAUGUGCUCGAAAGAGAACCGUAACACAGGUGCUGCAUGGCUGUCGUCAGCUCGUGUCGUGAGAUGUUGGGUUAAGUCCCGCAACGAGCGCAACCCUUGUCAUUAGUUGCUACGAAAGGGCACUCUAAUGAGACUGCCGGUGACAAACCGGAGGAAGGUGGGGAUGACGUCAAGUCCUCAUGGCCCUUAUGGGUAGGGCUUCACACGUCAUACAAUGGUACAUACAGAGGGCCGCCGACCCGCGAGGGGGAGCUAAUCCCAGAAAGUGUAUCGUAGUCCGGAUUGGAGUCUGCAACUCGACUCCAUGAAGUUGGAAUCGCUAGUAAUCGCGGAUCAGCAUGUCGCGGUGAAUACGUUCCCGGGUCUUGUACACACC